AAUCGUCUUUCUGAACACAAACUGCAAAAUCAAACCUUGAGAUACAAACUUGGUGGCUUAGAAGAUAUAGAAUCAUCUUCGACUUAACUGUUAAACGCAUAAACAUUGACCGUUCAUGCAUAAUGGUUUUCCAUGAAGGUAACAAUGAACAUGAGAACAUUGGAGGAUUGUAGUACAAUUAAGAGCUGUGAUGUAAAACACGAAUAAACUAGUGUUAUUGAAAAUGGUCGAUCGAAAGAUUGUGUAUAAGAAGAAAACACUUGAAAAUGGUGAGAAGAAAAUAUUUACCUUCGGCAUCAGUUGCAACAAGAAUUAAUAGAGAAAGUAAAUAGACCACAACAUAAACAUAUUUGAGAAUUUUAGUCAUAUUUUUUUCAUUC
Molecule: long non-coding RNA, 380 nt
Filed under: Trifolium pratense (red clover)
Lineage: Eukaryota; Viridiplantae; Streptophyta; Magnoliopsida; Fabales; Fabaceae
Description: long non-coding RNA (TPRA_LNC010495)
Source: RNAcentral